GACGAACGCUGGCGGCGUGCUUAACACAUGCAAGUCGAACGGAAAGGCCCCUUUGGGGGUCCUCGAGUGGCGAACGGGUGCGUAACACGUGAGUAACCUGCCCUUGACUUCGGGAUAACUUCAGGAAACUGGGGCUAAUACCGGAUAGGAAUCCUUGCUGCAUGGUGGGGGUUGGAAAGCUUCUGCGGUUUUGGAUGGACUCGCGGCUUAUCAGCUUGUUGGUGGGGUAGUGGCUUACCAAGGCUUUGACGGGUAGCCGGCCUGAGAGGGCGACCGGCCACAUUGGGACUGAGAGACGGCCCAGACUCCUACGGGAGGCAGCAGUGGGGAAUAUUGCACAAUGGGCGGAAGCCUGAUGCAGCAACGCCGCGUGCGGGAUGACGGCCUUCGGGUUGUAAACCGCUUUCAGCAGGGGCGAAGCUUGUGGUGACGGUACCUGCAGAAGAAGCACCGGCUAACUACGUG
This 465-nucleotide ribosomal RNA is filed under the name uncultured bacterium. RNAcentral's name for it is "partial 16S ribosomal RNA". It matches the Rfam family "Bacterial small subunit ribosomal RNA", at positions 28 to 507 of the family's 1533-position model. The record is from RNAcentral.